UGUUAGGACGGCUGCAAACACACC
RNAcentral lists this small RNA (24 nucleotides) under Arabidopsis thaliana (thale cress). Its description in RNAcentral is "ATSL058140". Lineage: Eukaryota; Viridiplantae; Streptophyta; Magnoliopsida; Brassicales; Brassicaceae. The record is from RNAcentral.